This is a long non-coding RNA of Alnus glutinosa, 683 nucleotides long. RefSeq lists it as uncharacterized. The record is from RefSeq and is a predicted model, not a curated record. The transcript has 3 exons. Lineage: Eukaryota; Viridiplantae; Streptophyta; Magnoliopsida; Fagales; Betulaceae.
UUAUUUUCUUUUCCUUUUUCUCUUCUCCCUUUCGGUGGACAGCAGCUCCCUCUUUCCCUUUUCUUUUCUUUUUCUUCCUCUCCUCUCCUUCCUCUCUCACGCUGCACGCCCGAUCUCCCCUCUCCCUUUCUUCUUCCUCUCUUUGUCUUCCUCUCACACACGCACGAACAUGAGAGAGACCCAGCGUGUGAGAGAGCAUCCCGAGAGUUGGAAGUGAGAUGUUAGCCGUAGGUGGUGCGAUUUUUGGGCUUCGGUGGCUGGGCCACCGUCGUGGCGUGGCAGCAGCGACUAGGCAAUGGAUUUCGGCCUUGAUUCGGAUGGUGUCCGGAUUGGAGACUUCAAUGGGUUCUCCAAUGUAGAGUUCGAGUCAUGUGUCCAAUUCAGUCAAAUGAUGUUCCUUUGGCUGCAGGUUUUCCGAUCAUAGUUGAUAGCAUUGUUGAAGGGCACUUGGGAUGUUACGACUGAAGCACGUCGCAACAGUCAAAGUUGGUGGACUACGGGUUGUCCACUUGUUUAUAGGUUUGGUUUAUGGCUUGUGACAAUUGUGUCACUUAUUUUUGUAAAGCCAUUUUUGUUAUGUAUUUAUAUUGAGGAAAGACUUAAACAGAUAGAUGUAAUAUGGCUCUUUGUUUAUGAUUAUUUGUAAUAGAAGUUUAUGUUAUGAUUUCCGUUAUUUAGGUUUA